Long non-coding RNA from Photinus pyralis (common eastern firefly), 945 nucleotides. RefSeq lists it as uncharacterized. The record is from RefSeq and is a predicted model, not a curated record. Lineage: Eukaryota; Metazoa; Arthropoda; Insecta; Coleoptera; Lampyridae. The transcript has 2 exons.
UUUGCGAAAGUAUUUGAGUUACGAGUACAAAUACUGCUUCCAUAAAAGUAUUUAACUACAAAGUAUUUGAAUACUAAAAAGUAUUUACAAAAUCGAAUACUGCCCAGCUCUGAAUUAGUUAAACCGAAUGGAUUACCGAAACUAACAACUACAUCAGAAUGUUAAUAUUACAUAAUAUUGACGACCUUAUACCAUUAUUUGACAAUACAAAAUCAUUUACCAAAGAACACAUUACGUUUUUGUAAUUCCAUGCAUGUACAAACAGUGAUCUUAAAGUUGAAGAUGAGUUAAACGCACAUUAAUUCCAAAGAGCUUUUUUAUUGAAUCUCCCCUCCAACAUACCUUUAGUUUUGUACGAACAUAUUGUCUUCCAUUCAUAAGAGUGAUUUCAAGUGCCAGAGCUAUAAGCUACUGAAUACAAGAAGAAUGAAACUAAAUACCAUGAGCACUGUAGGAGUAGUUAAGGCCUCGGAUGAACGGCCAUGCAGCAAAAGUGGCUGCACAGGCAAUUCUUACUUUUCUUUAGAAAAAUUGGUCGGGGGUGCAUUUCCUUGGCUCGCCUACCAUAUCUCUAGGAGGGAUACCUAGUUACACAAAUGAAAAUAAUAGAAGCACAAAUGAUUCCAAUAGCUUUUUGUCAAAAAUAGUAAGAUUGGGUGGAGGUCACAUAUAUUUGACGCCGCCCACUGUUUUUUUGCGAAGGAGAAUAGCACAAACGAUAAUAAUUGCAGCACAAACGAAGUACAAACGAUUACAACAGAUUUUUUGAAAAUAGUAAGUUUGGGUCGGGAUCGCAUUUCUUGUCCCCGCCCACCGUUUCUCUGGAGAGUAGCACAAACGAAAAAAAUUUCACACACGCGACACACGAUUCCAGUGGUUUUUUUUAAAUAGCAGCAAUGGGUGGUGCUGUGAAAAUCGACCUUAGAAGAUAUGUUUAAAUAUAUU